Molecule: ribosomal RNA, 446 nt
Filed under: uncultured bacterium
Lineage: Bacteria
Description: bacterial SSU rRNA
Rfam family: Bacterial small subunit ribosomal RNA
Source: RNAcentral
CCCAGACUCCUACGGGAGGCAGCAGUGGGGAAUAUUGCACAAUGGGGGAAACCCUGAUGCAGCGACGCCGCGUGAGUGAAGAAGUAUUUCGGUAUGUAAAGCUCUAUCAGCAGGGAAGAAAAUGACGGUACCUGAUUAAGAAGCCCCGGCUAACUACGUGCCAGCAGCCGCGGUAAUACGUAGGGGGCAAGCGUUAUCCGGAUUUACUGGGUGUAAAGGGAGCGUAGACGGUGAUGCAAGUCAGAAGUGAAAGCCCGGGGCUCAACUCCGGGACUGCUUUUGAAACUGUGUAACUGGAGUGCAGGAGAGGUAAGCGGAAUUCCUGGUGUAGCGGUGAAAUGCGUAGAUAUCAGGAGGAACACCAGUGGCGAAGGCGGCUUACUGGACUGUAACUGACGUUGAGGCUCGAAAGCGUGGGGAGCAAGCAGGAUUAGAUACCCCUGUAC